This 999-nucleotide ribosomal RNA is filed under the name Staphylococcus saprophyticus. RNAcentral's name for it is "bacterial SSU rRNA". It matches the Rfam family "Bacterial small subunit ribosomal RNA", at positions 473 to 1426 of the family's 1533-position model. Lineage: Bacteria; Bacillati; Bacillota; Bacilli; Caryophanales; Staphylococcaceae. The record is from RNAcentral.
CGGUAUCUAACCAGAAAGCCACGGCUAACUACGUGCCAGCAGCCGCGGUAAUACUAGGGUGGCAAGCGUUGUCCUCGGGAUUUAUUGGGCGGUAAAGCGAGCGCCAAUCGGUGUUUCUUAAGUCUGAUGUGAAAGGUCCCCCGGGCCUCAACCCGGGGGGAGGGUCAUUGCGAAACUGGGAAGAGCUUGACUUGAGUGCUCAAGAGGAGAGUGGAAAAUUUCCAUGUGGUAGCCGGGUGAAAUGCGGUAUAGAUAUAUUGGGGAGGAACACCCAGGUGGCCAAAGGGCGGCUGCUCUCUGGUCUGUAAGACUCUGACGCUGAGGCUCGAAAGGCCGUGGGGAGCACAAGACAGGAUUAGAUACCCUGGUAGUCCACGCCGUAAACGAUGAUGCUAAGUGUUGGAGCGUUUCCGCCCUUCAGUCUGCACCAAACGCAUUAAGCACUCCGCCUGGGGAGUACGACCGCAAGGUUGAAACUCCAAGGAAUUGACGGGGGCCCGCACAAUCGGUGGAGCAUGUGGUAUAAUUCUAACUACCCUGAAGAACCUUACCAGGUCUUGACUCCUUUUGACCACUCUACAGAUAGAGCUUUCCUUUCGGGGAUAAAUGACAGGUGGUGCAUGGUGUCGUCAUGCUCGUGUUCGUGAAAUGUUUGGUAAAGCCCCGCAACUCGAGCGCACCCUUAUUGUUAGUUGCCUUCAUUUAUGGGCAAUUCAAAGAGACUGCCCAUGACGAACCGGAAGGAAAGGGGGGAUGACGUCAAAUUCUCCUGCCCCCUAUGACGUGGGGUACCCCCCUCUUACAAAGGGAACUUCAAAGAGUCACCUGCCCGGGAGGUCCAACAAAUCUUCUAAAAUUCUUUCAGUUCGGGAUGCAGGUUGCAACUUGCAUUCCUGAAGCUGGAAUCGCUAGUAAUCGCGGAUCAGCACGCCCCCGUUGAUACGUUUCCGGGCCUUUACCCACCCCCCGUCACACCACGAGAAUUGGUAACCCCAGAAG